GAUGAACGCUGGCGGUAUGCUUAACACAUGCAAGUCGAACGGACUCUUCGGAGUUAGUGGCGGACGGGUGAGUAACGCGUGAGAAUCUGGCUUUGGGUUCGGGACAACCACUGGAAACGGUGGCUAAUACCGGAUGUGCCGAGAGGUAAAAGAGAAAUUGCCUGAAGAUGAGCUCGCGUCUGAUUAGCUAGUUGGUGAGGUAAAGGCUCACCAAGGCAGCGAUCAGUAGCUGGUCUGAGAGGGUGACCAGCCACACUGGGACUGAGACACGGCCCAGACUCCUACGGGAGGCAGCAGGGGGGAAUUGUCCGCAAUGGGCGAAAGCCUGACGGAGCAAUACCGCGUGAGGGAAGAAGGCUCUUGGGUUGUAAACCUCUUUUCUUAGGGAAGAACAAAAUGACGGUACCUAAGGAAUCAGCAUCGGCUAACUCCGUG
RNAcentral lists this ribosomal RNA (435 nucleotides) under uncultured bacterium. RNAcentral's name for it is "partial 16S ribosomal RNA". It matches the Rfam family "Bacterial small subunit ribosomal RNA", at positions 28 to 507 of the family's 1533-position model. The record is from RNAcentral.